CGGAACGUGGCGCAGUCCGGUUAGCGUACUUGACUGGGGGUCAAGUGGUCGCGGGUUCAAAUCCCGCCGUUCCGACCA
Molecule: transfer RNA, 78 nt
Filed under: Ignavibacteria bacterium
Lineage: Bacteria; Pseudomonadati; Ignavibacteriota; Ignavibacteria
Description: tRNA-Pro
Rfam family: tRNA
About the family: Transfer RNA (tRNA) molecules are approximately 80 nucleotides in length. Their secondary structure includes four short double-helical elements and three loops (D, anti-codon, and T loops).
Source: RNAcentral